RNAcentral lists this ribosomal RNA (1150 nucleotides) under Flavimobilis marinus. RNAcentral's name for it is "bacterial SSU rRNA". The stretch from base 1 to 942 matches the Rfam family "Bacterial small subunit ribosomal RNA", at positions 595 to 1533 of the family's 1533-position model. The record is from RNAcentral. Lineage: Bacteria; Bacillati; Actinomycetota; Actinomycetes; Micrococcales; Jonesiaceae.
UGAAAACUCAAGGCUCAACCUUGAGCUUGCAUCGGGUACGGGCAGACUAGAGUGCGGUAGGGGUGACUGGAAUUCCUGGUGUAGCGGUGGAAUGCGCAGAUAUCAGGAGGAACACCGAUGGCGAAGGCAGGUCACUGGGCCGCAACUGACGCUGAGGAGCGAAAGCAUGGGGAGCGAACAGGAUUAGAUACCCUGGUAGUCCAUGCCGUAAACGUUGGGCACUAGGUGUGGGGCUCAUUCCACGAGUUCCGUGCCGCAGCUAACGCAUUAAGUGCCCCGCCUGGGGAGUACGGCCGCAAGGCUAAAACUCAAAGGAAUUGACGGGGGCCCGCACAAGCGGCGGAGCAUGCGGAUUAAUUCGAUGCAACGCGAAGAACCUUACCAAGGCUUGACAUGCACCGGAACUGCUCAGAGAUGGGUAGGUCUUCGGACUGGUGCACAGGUGGUGCAUGGUUGUCGUCAGCUCGUGUCGUGAGAUGUUGGGUUAAGUCCCGCAACGAGCGCAACCCUCGUCCUAUGUUGCCAGCACGUUAUGGUGGGGACUCAUAGGAGACUGCCGGGGUCAACUCGGAGGAAGGUGGGGAUGACGUCAAAUCAUCAUGCCCCUUAUGUCUUGGGCUUCACGCAUGCUACAAUGGCCGGUACAAAGGGCUGCGAUACCGCGAGGUGGAGCGAAUCCCAAAAAGCCGGUCUCAGUUCGGAUUGGGGUCUGCAACUCGACCCCAUGAAGUCGGAGUCGCUAGUAAUCGCAGAUCAGCAACGCUGCGGUGAAUACGUUCCCGGGCCUUGUACACACCGCCCGUCAAGUCACGAAAGUCGGUAACACCCGAAGCCGGUGGCCUAACCCCUUGUGGGACGGAGCCGUCGAAGGUGGGAUUGGCGAUUGGGACUAAGUCGUAACAAGGUAGCCGUACCGGAAGGUGCGGCUGGAUCACCUCCUUUCUAAGGAGCCACACCGGUUCAACCAUCAAACGCUUUUUCGUGCUUGUCAGUGUCCUUCGGGAGCUGGUGGGGCGGGGGCGGGUUGGCCGGCAAGUGCCACGCUCAGGCCGUACGUGUCUGAGGUGGGACGCUCAUGGGUGGAACAUUGACUUAGCGCGAACCCGGUGGGUUGGUCGCUGCUAGUACGUUCGGUUCGCUUCUUCGGGAG